Molecule: ribosomal RNA, 226 nt
Filed under: uncultured bacterium
Lineage: Bacteria
Description: partial 16S ribosomal RNA
Rfam family: Bacterial small subunit ribosomal RNA
Source: RNAcentral
GAUCCUGGCUCAGAUUGAACGCUGGCGGCAGGCCUAACACAUGCAAGUCGAGCGGUAGCACAGAGAGCUUGCUCUCGGGUGACGAGCGGCGGACGGGUGAGUAAUGUCUGGGAAACUGCCUGAUGGAGGGGGAUAACUACUGGAAACGGUAGCUAAUACCGCAUAAUGUCGCAAGACCAAAGUGAGGGACCUUCGGGCCUCAUGCCAUCAGAUGUGCCCAGAUGGG